ACUUUUUACCCGUUUAAGAGCGACGAUUUUAUAUUCAUAUUUAUGUUUUAUGUACUAAAAUACACAAUAUUAUCAAGUUUGAAAAUCAGUGAAGAACUUUACUUUAAUGUUUAACUCUGCGUAGCGCAGACGUUCAUAACCAUUGAACUAUACUCUAACUGGAAUGGGCACUGCCCAUGAAGGAAGAUUAAGGAGAGGGAACUGCAGAGAUUGAAAGUGGUCACGAAAAAUGUUCCACGUUCUGCCAUGUUUGUCCAAUGGAAGAACUAGGACCAUAGCGUCGCCAUCUUGGACUGAUUUUAUCCUUGUUGUUUACCAAGUGUUAGAUAAAGAUAAAAUUGCUGGCAUUAGUCCUGGAGUAGUUUUGACAGUUUUUGGUUAAAAGGUUAUAAAUACAUGUUACAAUAGAGGAAAUAUCGCCAAAGUGUGAAAUAUAUAUAUAUAAUAUAUAUAUUACGUAAUCAAUGAAUAAAUAUUGAAUGAAAUUAGAAAAUUGAAAAGAAUAUAUAUAUAUAUAUAUAUAUAUAUAUAUAUAUAUAUAUAAAAUUAUAUAUAUUGCUACAGAAAGAGCUUUUAACAAAGAAUGGAACUUGAAAAAGAUGGACACAAUAGUUUUAAAUACUUGCAAGAUAAUUUGGAGUUGACUACACUUCCUUCUACAAAAUGGAGUUAUUCAAAAGGAAAUGAAAUGUUUUUUGGUUUCCAAAAGGUAGAAAGUGAUUAUAAUGUAAGAAAAAGAAUUGCUUUUUUGCAAAAUGGACAGAUUAAUAUUUAUAUAGAUGAUAAGAUUCAUUUUCUUUCAAAAUUUAUUGUAAUUUCAAGUAUUGAGGAUUUAAAUGAAUUAUUACAAGUUCUUGAUAAAUUAUAAAAAUGUUAUAUAAAAAUUCACAAUGUCAUGCUAUAACUUCAAUUUAAUAUCAUUUUAAAGAUCACACAUAAUUAACAUGAUUUGAGCACAAAAUAUUAUAUAUAUAUAUAUAUAUAUAUAUAUAUAUAUAUAUAUAUACUAUA
Molecule: long non-coding RNA, 1011 nt
Organism: Solenopsis invicta (red fire ant)
Lineage: Eukaryota; Metazoa; Arthropoda; Insecta; Hymenoptera; Formicidae
Exons: 3
Source: RefSeq, a predicted model, not a curated record